AUGCACGCUGGCGGCGUGCCUAAUACCUGCACGUCGAGCGAACGGACGAGAAGCUUGCUUCUCUGAUGUUAGCGGCGGACGGGUGAGUAACACGUGGAUAACCUACCUAUAAGACUGGGAUAACUUCGGGAAACCGUAGCUAAUACCGGAUAAUAUUUUGAACCGCAUGGUUCAAAAGUGAAAGACGGUCUUGCUGUCACUUAUAGAUGGAUCCGCGCUGCAUUAGCUAGUUGGUAAGGUAACGGCUUACCAAGGCAACGAUGCAUAGCCGACCUGAGAGGGUGAUCGGCCACACUGGAACUGAGACACGGUCCAGACUCCUACGGGAGGCAGCAGUAGGGAAUCUUCCGCAAUGGGCGAAAGCCUGACGGAGCAACGCCGCGUGAGUGAUGAAGGUCUUCGGAUCGUAAAACUCUGUUAUUAGGGAAGAACAUAUGUGUAAGUAACUGUGCACAUCUUGACGGUACCUAAUCAGAAAGCCACGGCUAACUACGUG
RNAcentral lists this ribosomal RNA (496 nucleotides) under uncultured bacterium. RNAcentral describes it as "partial 16S ribosomal RNA". It matches the Rfam family "Bacterial small subunit ribosomal RNA", at positions 29 to 507 of the family's 1533-position model. The record is from RNAcentral.